UUUAAGGAGUUAAUGGCUGCAUAAAUCUGAGUGUAMUAAGGUAGCGCUACAAUUUGCCCUUUAAAUGGGGGCUGGUAUGAAUGGGUUCACGUGAGAGUUGCUGUGUCACAAAAAUUUUUUGAAAUUAACUUUUAGGUGAAGAGGCCUAGCUAAGUUUAAAGGACGACAAGACCCUAGAAGCUUUACUGAUGGUAAAUUACAGCGUAAAUCACUUCAGUUUUGUUGGGGCAACAUAGUUAGAAAGUAUAGCUUGUUAAUUGUAAACCUACAAGUUAAAACCACAUUAGUGAAUAAGAUAAGCUACUCUAGGGAUAACAGCGUUAUUUUUUUUAAUAGUACGUAUUGUAAAAAAAGUUUGCGACCUCGAUGUUGGAUUAAGGUGUCCUUAAGGCGCAGAAGUUUUAGAGGGUUGGCCUGUUCGUCCAUUAAAACCUUACA
RNAcentral lists this ribosomal RNA (438 nucleotides) under Gigantidas crypta. RNAcentral describes it as "partial 16S ribosomal RNA". It matches the Rfam family "Bacterial large subunit ribosomal RNA", at positions 1912 to 2600 of the family's 2925-position model. Lineage: Eukaryota; Metazoa; Mollusca; Bivalvia; Mytilida; Modiolidae. The record is from RNAcentral.